RNAcentral lists this long non-coding RNA (657 nucleotides) under Lathyrus oleraceus (garden pea). RNAcentral describes it as "Pisum sativum (pea) long non-coding RNA (PSAT_LNC000434)". The record is from RNAcentral. Lineage: Eukaryota; Viridiplantae; Streptophyta; Magnoliopsida; Fabales; Fabaceae.
GCAAUCACAACAAUAAUAUAACACAUAACAAUAUUUUAAUAACAACAAUUUUGUCUCAUAUGUGAGUAAAAUGUAACUGUUAGUUAAAUACUAUACAACACUACACUAAACAAUACAUGAUACAACAUGCUUAAAUUAUGCAUAAUCCAAUUUUAAACUCUCAAAACACGGUUCUUCAUCGACCACACAGACUGGUUUCAUAGUUUGGAUAAGCUUUUUCAUGAGAGGCUUCUUGAGUACGUGGAGAGGGCGCCUUGGUUAACAAUGUCGGCGUUUGUGAGCGGCACUGGUGAAAACGGCUAGCUUCCACCUCUGUGUUCCCAGCUGCUUUACACGGAAUCCUUGUUCCAGACAAGCAACCAUUUCCUUUAAUAUGGUGCCACUAGCUUCGACCGCCACCACUCCAACUUCAUGACGUCUGUUUGAGGCGGUGAGCUUUAGGAGGUAACUGCUAUCCUGAUUUAACGACGUCUGUUACUGGUGGCGACGACAAGAAUGUCUUAGGCGAGGGUAGCUUUAGACGAUGACUAUCACCACUCCGCAUCGAUCAUACUACAUGUUUACAGCAAACAUUCAAACAAAAUUAAUCGAUACAGACGCAAAGUAAUCACCCAAACUAUCAACAAAAUUAGGGAAUUUCCGUUUGAUCAAUAAAUU